Molecule: ribosomal RNA, 697 nt
Filed under: uncultured archaeon
Lineage: Archaea
Description: bacterial SSU rRNA
Rfam family: Archaeal small subunit ribosomal RNA
Source: RNAcentral
ACCCGAUAGAUCUCGACUGCUGGAAUGCAUCGAGAUCUAAAGCUCCGGCGCCUAAGGAUGGGUCUGCGGCCUAUCAGGUAGUAGUGGGUGUAGCGUACCUACUAGCCUACGACGGGUACGGGUUGUGAGAGCAAGAGCCCGGAGAUGGAUUCUGAGACACGAAUCCAGGCCCUACGGGGUGCAGCAGGCGCGAAAACUUUACAAUGCUGGAAACAGCGAUAAGGGGACCUCGAGUGCCAGGUUACAAAUCUGGCUGUCGUGAUGCCUAAAAAGCAUUGCAUAGCAAGGGCCGGGCAAGACCGGUGCCAGCCGCCGCGGUAACACCGGCGGCUCGAGUGGUAACCGUUAUUAUUGGGUCUAAAGGGUCUGUAGCCGGCCGGAUAAGUCUCUUGGGAAAUCCAGCAGCUCAACUGUUGGGCUUUCAGGAGAUACUGUCUGGCUCGAGGCCGGGAGAGGUGAGAGGUACUUCAGGGGUAGGGGUGAAAUCUUGUAAUCCUUGAAGGACCACCAGUGGCGAAGGCGUCUCACCAGAACGGACCUGACGGCAAGGGACGAAAGCUAGGGGCACGAACCGGAUUAGAUACCCGGGUAGUCCUAGCCGUAAACGAUACUCGCUAGGUGUCGGCCACGGUGCGACCGUUGUCGGUGCCGUAGGGAAGCCGUGAAGCGAGCCACCUGGGAAGUACGGCCGCAAGGC